GAUGAACGCUGGCGGCGUGCCUAAUACAUGCAAGUAGAACGCUGAAGGAGGAGCUUGCUCUUCUGGAUGAGUUGCGAACGGGUGAGUAACGCGUAGGUAACCUGCCUGGUAGCGGGGGAUAACUAUUGGAAACGAUAGCUAAUACCGCAUGACAACAGUUAUUGCAUGAUAACUGUUUAAAAGGGGCAACUGCUCCACUACCAGAUGGACCUGCGUUGUAUUAGCUAGUUGGUGAGGUAACGGCUCACCAAGGCGACGAUACAUAGCCGACCUGAGAGGGUGAUCGGGCACACUGGGACUGAGAAAAGGCCCAGACUCCUACGGGAGGCAGCAGUAGGGAAUCUUCGGCAAUGGACGGAAGGCUGACCGAGCAACGCCGCGGGAGUGAAGAAGGUUUUCGGAUCGGAAAGCUCUGUUGUAAGAGAAGAACGAGUGUGAGAGUGGAAAGUUCACACUGUGACGGUAUCUUAAGAGAAAGGGACGGCUAACUACGUG
This 495-nucleotide ribosomal RNA is filed under the name uncultured bacterium. RNAcentral's name for it is "partial 16S ribosomal RNA". It matches the Rfam family "Bacterial small subunit ribosomal RNA", at positions 28 to 507 of the family's 1533-position model. The record is from RNAcentral.